AGCGGCAGACGGGUGAGUAACGCGUGGGAACGUACCCUUUACUACGGAAUAACGCAGGGAAACUUGUGCUAAUACCGUAUGUGCCCUUUGGGGGAAAGAUUUAUCGGUAAAGGGUCGGCCCGCGUUGGAUUAGCUAGUUGGUGGGGUAAAGGCCUACCAAGGCGACGAUCCAUAGCUGGUCUGAGAGGAUGAUCAGCCACAUUG
RNAcentral lists this ribosomal RNA (204 nucleotides) under Rhizobium etli. Its description in RNAcentral is "partial 16S ribosomal RNA". It matches the Rfam family "Bacterial small subunit ribosomal RNA", at positions 94 to 315 of the family's 1533-position model. The record is from RNAcentral. Lineage: Bacteria; Pseudomonadati; Pseudomonadota; Alphaproteobacteria; Hyphomicrobiales; Rhizobiaceae.